This 398-nucleotide long non-coding RNA is filed under the name Chrysolophus pictus (golden pheasant). RNAcentral describes it as "lncRNA (ENSCPIG00010002556.1)". Lineage: Eukaryota; Metazoa; Chordata; Aves; Galliformes; Phasianidae. The record is from RNAcentral.
CUUUGGUCUGCUUGAAAACUCAGACAUCAAUAAGGCAGUUAAGUUUAUAUAUUGAAUCAUAUGAAGUAUGGAUUAUGCAGAACAGCCCACCUCUAGUUUUGAGUGAAAGGAGGUCAAUAUUUUACAGGACUUUACAGGACAGAACCCUAAGUACUGCAAGAGUUCCUGACACCAGUGAAUGAAUCCAUGCAGCAGAUCAUAAACACAUCACCAAGUCAUGAUUUUGGAACAUCACUUCCUGCUUUUCCUAAAUAUUAAUGUAAGUGAAACCUGAAGGGGUUGCUUUUAGUGUGUGGUGAAUGUUGCAUUGUCACCAGGUGACCAGUGUUUUUUUUUUUAAUCAUUGAAUGUGCUCCUUUAUCAAAGUGUCUUUGAGAUAAAUAGAAGUAAGGCUUGAG